Molecule: ribosomal RNA, 388 nt
Filed under: uncultured bacterium
Lineage: Bacteria
Description: bacterial SSU rRNA
Rfam family: Bacterial small subunit ribosomal RNA
Source: RNAcentral
AUUGAACGCUGGCGGCAUGCCUUACACAUGCAAGUCGAACGGCAGCACGGGAGCUUGCUCCUGGUGGCGAGUGGCGAACGGGUGAGUAAUACAUCGGAACGUACCCUGAAGUGGGGGAUAACGUAGCGAAAGUUACGCUAAUACCGCAUAUUCUGUGAGCAGGAAAGCAGGGGAUCGCAAGACCUUGCGCUCUGGGAGCGGCCGAUGUCGGAUUAGCUAGUUGGUGGGGUAAAGGCCUACCAAGGCGACGAUCCGUAGCGGGUCUGAGAGGAUGAUCCGCCACACUGGGACUGAGACACGGCCCAGACUCCUACGGGAGGCAGCAGUGGGGAAUUUUGGACAAUGGGGGCAACCCUGAUCCAGCCAUGCCGCGUGAGUGAAGAAGGCC